CCUACGGGGGGCAGCAGUGAGGAAUAUUGGUCAAUGGGCUUACGCCUGAACCAGCCAAGUCGCGUGUGGGAAGACUGCCCUAUGGGUUGUAAACCUCUUUUGUCAGGGAGCAACGCCGGCUACGUGUAGCCGGACUGAGAGUACCUGAAGAAAAAGCAUCGGCUAACUCCGUGCCAGCAGCCGCGGUAAUACGGAGGAUGCGAGCGUUAUCCGGAUUUACUGGGUGUAAAGGGAGCGCAGGCGGCGCGUUAAGCCUGGUGUGAAAGCCCGCGGCCCAACCGCGGGACUGCAUUGGGAACUGGCGC
Molecule: ribosomal RNA, 305 nt
Filed under: uncultured bacterium
Lineage: Bacteria
Description: bacterial SSU rRNA
Rfam family: Bacterial small subunit ribosomal RNA
Source: RNAcentral